AUUGAACGCUGGCGGCAGGCUUAACACAUGCAAGUCGAGCGGUAGCACAGGGGAGCUUGCUCCCUGGGUGACGAGCGGCGGACGGGUGAGUAAUGUCUGGGAAACUGCCUGAUGGAGGGGGAUAACUACUGGAAACGGUAGCUAAUACCGCAUAACGUCGCAAGACCAAAGAGGGGGACCUUCGGGCCUCUUGCCAUCAGAUGUGCCCAGAUGGGAUUAGCUAGUAGGUGGGGUAAUGGCUCACCUAGGCGACGAUCCCUAGCUGGUCUGAGAGGAUGACCAGCCACACUGGAACUGAGACACGGUCCAGACUCCUACGGGAGGCAGCAGUGGGGAAUAUUGCACAAUGGGUGCAAGCCUGAUGCAGCCAUGCCGCGUGUGUGAAGAAGGCCUUCGGGUUGUAAAGCACUUUCAGCGAGGAGGAAGGUGGUGGGCUUAAUACGCUCAUCAAUUGACGUUACUCGCAGAAGAAGCACCGGCUAACUCCGUG
This 490-nucleotide ribosomal RNA is filed under the name uncultured bacterium. Its description in RNAcentral is "partial 16S ribosomal RNA". It matches the Rfam family "Bacterial small subunit ribosomal RNA", at positions 30 to 507 of the family's 1533-position model. The record is from RNAcentral.